This 533-nucleotide ribosomal RNA is filed under the name uncultured archaeon. RNAcentral describes it as "bacterial SSU rRNA". It matches the Rfam family "Bacterial small subunit ribosomal RNA", at positions 509 to 1050 of the family's 1533-position model. The record is from RNAcentral.
CAGCCGCCGCGGUAAUACAUAGGGGGCGAGCGUUGUCUGGAUUUAUUGGGCGUAAAGCGUGUGUAGGCGGUUUAUUAAGUCUAAGGUUAAAGGCUGAAGCUUAACUUCAGUAUGCCUUGGAAACUGGUAGACUUGAGUAUGGUAGAGGCAAGUGGAAUUUCUAGUGUAGCGGUUAAAUGCGUAGAUAUUAGAAGGAACACCAGUGGCGAAGGCGGCUUGCUGGGCUAUUACUGACGCUGAGACACGAAAGCGUGGGGAGCAAAUAGGAUUAGAUACCCUAGUAGUCCACGCCGUAAACGAUGAGUACUAAGUGUCGGAGUUAUUCGGUGCUGAAGUUAACACAUUAAGUACUCCGCCUGAGUAGUACGGCCGCAAGGCUGAAACUCAAAGGAAUUGACGGGCACCCGCACAAGCGGUGGAGCAUGCUGUUUAAUUCGACGCUACGCGAAGAACCUUACCUGGGCUUGACAUCUCAAGGAUCGCUCUAGAAAUAGAGUCUCCCUUCGGGGCCGUGAGACAGGAGGUGCAUGGCC